Molecule: ribosomal RNA, 484 nt
Filed under: uncultured bacterium
Lineage: Bacteria
Description: partial 16S ribosomal RNA
Rfam family: Bacterial small subunit ribosomal RNA
Source: RNAcentral
AUUGAACGCUGGCGGCAGGCCUAACACAUGCAAGUCGAGCGGAUGAAGGGAGCUUGCUCCUGGAUUCCGCGGCGGACGGGUGAGUAAUGCCUAUGAAUCUGCCUGGUUGUGGGGUAUAACGUCCUGAAACGGGCGCUAAUACCGCAUACGUCCUGAGGGAGCAAGUGGGGGGUCUUCGGACCUCACGCUCUCAGAUGAGCCUAGGUCGGAUUAGCUAGUUGGUGGGGUAAAGGCCUACCAAGGCGACGAUCCGUAACUGGUCUGAGAGGAUGAUCAGUCACACUGGAACUGAGACACGGUCCAGACUCCUACGGGAGGCAGCAGUGGGGAAUAUUGGACAAUGGGCGAAAGCCUGAUCCAGCCAUGGCGCGUGUGUGAAGAAGGUCUUCGGAUUGUAAAGCACUUUAAGUUGGGAGGAAGGGCAGUAAGUUAAUACCUUGCUGUUUUGACGGUACCAACAGAAUAAGCACCGGCUAACUUCGUG